This 484-nucleotide ribosomal RNA is filed under the name uncultured bacterium. Its description in RNAcentral is "partial 16S ribosomal RNA". It matches the Rfam family "Bacterial small subunit ribosomal RNA", at positions 30 to 507 of the family's 1533-position model. The record is from RNAcentral.
AUUGAACGCUAGCGGGAUGCUCUACACAUGCAAGUCGAACGGCAGCGCGGACUUCGGUCUGGCGGCGAGUGGCGAACGGGUGAGUAAUGUAUCGGAACGUGCCCAGUAGCGGGGGAUAACUACGCGAAAGCGUAGCUAAUACCGCAUACGCCCUACGGGGGAAAGCAGGGGAUCGUAAGACCUUGCACUCUUGGAGCGGCCGAUAUCGGAUUAGCUAGUUGGUGAGGUAACGGCUCACCAAGGCGACGAUCCGUAGCUGGUUUGAGAGGACGACCAGCCACACUGGGACUGAGACACGGCCCAGACUCCUACGGGAGGCAGCAGUGGGGAAUGUUGGACAAUGGGGGCAACCCUGAUCCAGCCAUCCCGCGUGUGCGAUGAAGGCCUUCGGGUUGUAAAGCACUUUUGGCAGGAAAGAAACGUCGCGGGCUAAUACCCCGUGGAACUGACGGUACCUGCAGAAUAAGCACCGGCUAACUACGUG